This 23-nucleotide microRNA is filed under the name Oryctolagus cuniculus (rabbit). Lineage: Eukaryota; Metazoa; Chordata; Mammalia; Lagomorpha; Leporidae. The record is from RNAcentral.
UGAAUGAUGCCUUUUUGAGAAAA